This 897-nucleotide ribosomal RNA is filed under the name Phaeococcomycetaceae sp. TRN456. RNAcentral describes it as "SSU rRNA". It matches the Rfam family "Eukaryotic small subunit ribosomal RNA", at positions 150 to 1055 of the family's 1831-position model. Lineage: Eukaryota; Fungi; Ascomycota; Arthoniomycetes; Lichenostigmatales; Phaeococcomycetaceae. The record is from RNAcentral.
UGGUAAUUCUAGAGCUAAUACAUGCUAAAAACCCCGACUUCGGAAGGGGUGUAUUUAUUAGAUAAAAAACCAAUGCCCUUCGGGGCUCCUUGGUGAUUCAUAAUAACUUAACGAAUCGCAUGGCCUUGCGCCGGCGAUGGUUCAUUCAAAUUUCUGCCCUAUCAACUUUCGAUGGUAGGAUAGUGGCCUACCAUGGUAUCAACGGGUAACGGGGAAUUAGGGUUCGAUUCCGGAGAGGGAGCCUGAGAAACGGCUACCACAUCCAAGGAAGGCAGCAGGCGCGCAAAUUACCCAAUCCCAAUUCGGGGAGGUAGUGACAAUAAAUACUGAUACAGGGCUCUUUUGGGUCUUGUAAUUGGAAUGAGUACAAUUUAAAUCCCUUAACGAGGAACAAUUGGAGGGCAAGUCUGGUGCCAGCAGCCGCGGUAAUUCCAGCUCCAAUAGCGUAUAUUAAAGUUGUUGCAGUUAAAAAGCUCGUAGUUGAACCUUGGGCCUGGCUAGCCGGUCCGCCUCACCGCGUGUACUGGUCCGGCUGGGCCUUUCCUUCUGGGGAUCCGCAUGCCCUUCACUGGGUGUGUCGGGGAACCAGGACUUUUACUGUGAAAAAAUUAGAGUGUUCAAAGCAGGCCUUCGCUCGAAUACAUUAGCAUGGAAUAAUAGAAUAGGACGUUGCGGUUCUAUUUUGUUGGUUUCUAGGACCGCCGUAAUGAUUAAUAGGGAUAGUCGGGGGCAUCAGUAUUCAAUUGUCAGAGGUGAAAUUCUUGGAUUUAUUGAAGACUAACUACUGCGAAAGCAUUUGCCAAGGAUGUUUUCAUUAAUCAGGAACGAAAGUUAGGGGAUCGAAGACGAUCAGAUACCGUCGUAGUCUUAACCAUAAACUAUGCCGACUAGGGAUCG